AUGGUGCGCGCGUCUCGGACUCCCGGCCCCGCAGCUGAGGGGCGGCGGGCGCGCUCCCGACACAGCCGACGCCUGUCGAGCGCGCAGCGGCGAGAACCUCGCUCUCCCGGUCGCGCACUCCGGGCCGACGGGGCGGACGGGCUCCAAGGCGCGCGGGUUCCUGGAGUUCGAGUCUCUCCUCUGCAGGCCGGUGAACCUGAACAGAACGCCAGCCGGGGCGGCGGGCGCGCCGGCCUCCUUUCAGGGCGCCCGCCUAGUCUUCAGGGGUGCCGUCUCGCUAGCCGCCUCAGCAGCGCUCGGACUCUGCGGGAUUCUGCCCCGACUCGGAGCAGCAGCCGCGGUCCCUUGCGCUCCGCCCCCUAGGGACAAGACCUCCCUAGAGCGCUUUCCGAAACAGACACAGCGCGGCUCACGCACACACACAGACACAAUGCCCCGCGCGGUGCCCACUCUCGCUCGCCCGCCCUCGGUUUCGGUGCGACCGGGCGUUCCUCCUUCCCCUCCUAGGGGGAGGGUGGGUCACUUCUUGGCUCACGAGGAACACCGUGGACAGGGGAAACCGCGAGCCGCCCGCGGGCAGCCGGCGCGGGGCUGGUCCCGGGUCACAGAGGGAGCCGCAGGGUUGGCGGCGAAGCGCCGGGCGUCUCUGAGCCGCGGGCGCAGGGAGGUCGCAGGUCGAGCCGGAGGGUGGGUCCGCUCUCGCGGCCGCCGAAGAGGGCGGGGAGCGGCGGAGGAACAAGGCACUGAGCGGCUUGGCUCCUGGGAGGGAUCCCGCUGUCCCGUCCCCUCGCGCUCCUCCCCCGCCGCCUCCCCCACCCCGGGGCGCGCGGCAGGUUCUGAGCGGCUCGGCCCGAGAUCCCGAUCUCUCCCUCUCCCGGCCUCCGAGCUCCCUCUUCCUCCCUUUCCUCCUCCCCUUCCCACGUUCAGGCCCGGCUCCGGUUUCUGCCCAGACUUUCUCUGA
Molecule: non-coding RNA, 961 nt
Organism: Callithrix jacchus (white-tufted-ear marmoset)
Lineage: Eukaryota; Metazoa; Chordata; Mammalia; Primates; Cebidae
Source: RefSeq, a predicted model, not a curated record